RNAcentral lists this ribosomal RNA (468 nucleotides) under uncultured bacterium. RNAcentral describes it as "partial 16S ribosomal RNA". It matches the Rfam family "Bacterial small subunit ribosomal RNA", at positions 28 to 507 of the family's 1533-position model. The record is from RNAcentral.
GACGAACGCUGGCGGCGUGCUUAACACAUGCAAGUCGAACGGAAAGGCCCUGCUUUUGUGGGGUGCUCGAGUGGCGAACGGGUGAGUAACACGUGAGUAACCUGCCCUUGACUUUGGGAUAACUUCAGGAAACUGGGGCUAAUACCGGAUAGGAGCUCCUGCUGCAUGUUGGGGGUUGGAAAGUUUCGGCGGUUGGGGAUGGACUCGCGGCUUAUCAGCUUGUUGGUGGGGUAGUGGCUUACCAAGGCUUUGACGGGUAGCCGGCCUGAGAGGGUGACCGGCCACAUUGGGACUGCGAUACGGCCCAGACUCCUACGGGAGGCAGCAGUGGGGAAUAUUGCACAAUGGGCGGAAGCCUGAUGCAGCAACGCCGCGUGCGGGAUGACGGCCUUCGGGUUGUAAACCGCUUUCGCCUGUGACGAAGCGUGAGUGACGGUAAUGGGUAAAGAAGCACCGGCUAACUACGUG